RNAcentral lists this ribosomal RNA (245 nucleotides) under uncultured Rhodocista sp. RNAcentral's name for it is "partial 16S ribosomal RNA". It matches the Rfam family "Bacterial small subunit ribosomal RNA", at positions 524 to 768 of the family's 1533-position model. Lineage: Bacteria; Pseudomonadati; Pseudomonadota; Alphaproteobacteria; Rhodospirillales; Azospirillaceae. The record is from RNAcentral.
UACGAAGGGGGCGAGCGUUGUUCGGAUUUACUGGGCGUAAAGGGCGCGCAGGCGGCGAGUUUUGUCAGGCGUGAAAGCCCCGGGCUCAACCUGGGAAUUGCGCUUGAAACGGGCUUGCUAGAGAUCGGGAGAGGAGCGUGGAAUUCCCAGUGUAGAGGUGAAAUUCGUAGAUAUUGGGAAGAACACCGGUGGCGAAGGCGGCGCUCUGGACCGAUACUGACGCUGAGGCGCGAAAGCGUGGGGAG